GUUGGCCAAAAUUUUGAAAACCUUAACCCUUUAAAUUUUGUUCCCCUCCCCAACCCCAAUUCCAAUCCCCUUUUUUUUUCCUUUUCCAUUUUCCUUUUCCUGGUUGUUUGUUUUUCAUUCUUAUUUUCAUUUAAUUAUUUUUAAUUUUUGGGAGGGUUCCGCCAGGUUUGUAUUGUUUGUCUUGACCGGACCCGUUAAUUACUUUUCCAGGGUUCCAAGAAAAGAGAGGGAAGGUAUACCGGGCCACCCCCUAGAAGGGUACCUGGAACGGUUUUAUCAAUAAAAAAAAACCCGUUGUUUAAUAAAGGCUUUCGGGUCGUGAGGAAGCCCCGGGUCAUUAGUAGUGGGAGGAACGCCCACCAGGCCAGAUUCCACCCCCCUGAGGGGUUUUCGCCCCAUGGGGAUGAACCCCGCCCAAAUUCUUGGGGGGGCACAGUAGGAAUUUUCGCAAUGGAAGAAUUUUGACCGACAACGCCGGUGGAUGAAGAAGUUUUCGGAUCGUAAAAUUUUGUUUUAGAGAGAACAAGGAUGAGAGUACUGUUCAUCCCUUGACGGUAUUUACCAGAAAGCCACGGCUAAUUACGUGCCAGCAGCCGCGGUAAUACGUAGGUGGCAAGCGUUGUCCGGAUUUAUUGGGCGUAAAGCGAGCGCAGGCGGUUUCUUAAGUCUGAUGUGAAAGCCCCCGGCUCAACCGGGGAGGGUCAUUGGAAACUGGGAGACUUGAGUGCAGAAGAGGAGAGUGGAAUUCCAUGUGUAGCGGUGAAAUGCGUAGAUAUAUGGAGGAACACCAGUGGCGAAGGCGGCUCUCUGGUCUGUAACUGACGCUGAGGCUCGAAAGCGUGGGGAGCAAACAGGAUUAGAUACCCUGGUAGUCCACGCCGUAAACGAUGAGUGCUAAGUGUUGGAGGGUUUCCGCCCUUCAGUGCUGCAGCUAACGCAUUAAGCACUCCGCCUGGGGAGUACGACCGCAAGGUUGAAACUCAAAGGAAUUGACGGGGGCCCGCACAAGCGGUGGAGCAUGUGGUUUAAUUCGAAGCAACGCGAAGAACCUUACCAGGUCUUGACAUCCUUUGACCACUCUAGAGAUAGAGCUUCCCCUUCGGGGGCAAAGUGACAGGUGGUGCAUGGUUGUCGUCAGCUCGUGUCGUGAGAUGUUGGGUUAAGUCCCGCAACGAGCGCAACCCUUAUUGUUAGUUGCCAUCAUUCAGUUGGGCACUCUAGCAAGACUGCCGGUGACAAACCGGAGGAAGGUGGGGAUGACGUCAAAUCAUCAUGCCCCUUAUGACCUGGGCUACACACGUGCUACAAUGGGAAGUACAACGAGUUGCGAAGUCGCGAGGCUAAGCUAAUCUCUUAAAGCUUCUCUCAGUUCGGAUUGCAGGCUGCAACUCGCCUGCAUGAAGCCGGAAUCGCUAGUAAUCGCGGAUCAGCACGCCGCGGUGAAUACGUUCCCGGGCCUUGUACACACCGCCCGUCACACCACGAGAGUUUGUAACACCCGAAGUCGGUGAGGUAACCUUUUGGAGCCAGCCGCCUAAGGUGGGAUAGAUGAUUGGGGGAAGUCGAACCAAGGUGCAUGGG
RNAcentral lists this ribosomal RNA (1581 nucleotides) under Enterococcus faecium. RNAcentral's name for it is "bacterial SSU rRNA". It matches the Rfam family "Bacterial small subunit ribosomal RNA". The record is from RNAcentral. Lineage: Bacteria; Bacillati; Bacillota; Bacilli; Lactobacillales; Enterococcaceae.